Long non-coding RNA from Thunnus maccoyii (southern bluefin tuna), 452 nucleotides. RefSeq lists it as uncharacterized. The transcript has 4 exons. The record is from RefSeq and is a predicted model, not a curated record. NCBI's taxonomy places the organism in Eukaryota, Metazoa, Chordata, Actinopteri, Scombriformes, Scombridae.
CAACAAAGUGGUACUGAAGGAGACGACAUGUGGAGAAGAUUGACCAGCCUGUGAGCCCUGUGAGGAAAACACCACUUUUUAACAUGAUUUGACAACAUUCCAAAAAGCAAGGUUGAGGUCAGGUGACUGUGGAGGAAAGUCCAUGACAGUCAGGACUCCUUUGGUCUUCUUUGGUCUUCAAGUAGUUCUUGCAAAGCUUUGAGGUAAAGAAGACCAGGGGUCUACAGCCACGCUAGCAGCUCCGUGAGACUUCUAAUGUCAGCAUACUAACAUGCUCACAGUGACAAUGCUAAGAUGCUGAUGUUAAGCAGAGAGCUGCUGGAGGACUUUAUUUUCUAUCCAUCUUGAAGUAGUGUAAGGAUGGAUGGAGGACAGGAUGGAGGGCUGGAAAAAAGGAGGCUUAAAGAGGGAAGCAAAAAUGGAUUGGAGAAGAGAACUGGAAAUGGAAAGAC